UGCUUUGGCGCUUUAGCUGUAUGAUAGAAACAUAUUUCAUAAAGCUAGAUUACCAAAGCA
This 60-nucleotide microRNA precursor is filed under the name Mayetiola destructor (Hessian fly). RNAcentral's name for it is "mir-9/mir-79 microRNA precursor family". It matches the Rfam family "mir-9/mir-79 microRNA precursor family", at positions 1 to 62 of the family's 78-position model. From Rfam's summary of the family: The mature ~21nt miRNAs are processed from hairpin precursor sequences represented here. miR-9 is processed from the 5' arm of its precursor, and miR-79 from the 3' arm. Lineage: Eukaryota; Metazoa; Arthropoda; Insecta; Diptera; Cecidomyiidae. The record is from RNAcentral.